This is a non-coding RNA of Arachis ipaensis, 1691 nucleotides long. NCBI's taxonomy places the organism in Eukaryota, Viridiplantae, Streptophyta, Magnoliopsida, Fabales, Fabaceae. The record is from RefSeq and is a predicted model, not a curated record.
CUAUGAUGAUAAAGUUGCUUGCCAAAUGAUAUUGGAUUAGAUGGGUAUGAAAGACUAUCAGAUAGGCAAGACAAAAGUUUUCGUAAGAGCUGGUCAAAUGGCUGAGUUGGAUGCAAGAAGAGCAGAGGUUCUUGGAAAUGCAGCUAGAGUCCUUCAGAGGCAAAUACGUACACAUAUUGCACGCAAGGAAUUUAAAGAGUUGCGUCAAGCUGCAGUCUGUUUGCAAUGUAAUUUGAGAGGUACCCUGUAUUCUCUCUUAAUAUACUUGUUUAGUAGUUCAUAACCUUAAUCAGUCCCUUGUAAGUACAAGCUUUUUUCCUUAGUGGAUAUUAUACAGACACAUCCCUUAUAAGGUUCAUUUAUCUUUCAGUACUGAUACUAGAUUGGCAAACUUUAGGAUGUCUCCUUUAUGCUUAUUAUCUUCCUAAUAAUUAGAACCUUAAUGGUGGAAAGCAAUCAUAUGUCUAGCUUGCAUCUCUAACACCUCUAUUUGGCCUAUCUGGAUAGUUGAUACUAUAAUUAGAAUUUGUGACGCAUUAGAACUUUGCGAAAGUAGAUUUCCUUUUCAUUAUGGGUUGGCUAUGUUAAGUUUUUAUUGUUGAAUUUAUAGAUUCAUCUGGUUCUUUUCAAUGAUAAAUAGGAAUAUUGGCCCGGAAGCUCUAUGAGCAGUUGCGUCGUAAAGCAGCAGCUCUGAAAAUAGAAAAGAACUUCAAAGGAUACAUUGCUAGGAAAUCUUUCUUAAGUGUACGAUCGUCUGCUAUAAUAAUACAGAUAGGUUUAAGGGCUAUGAAGGCUCGUGAUGAAUUUAGAUUUAGAAAGCAAACAAAGGCUGCAAUUCAUAUCCAGGUUAAUUUGCGCCGGCAAAUUACAUUUUCAUAUUAUAAAAAGUUGCAAAAGGCUGCAAUUGUUACUUAGUGUGGUUGGAGGAGAAGGGUUGCUAGGAAGGAACUUAGAAUGCUCAAAAUGGCUGCAAGAGAAACAGGGGCCCUUAAGAAAGCAAAGGACAAACUAGAGAAGCGUGUAGAAGAACUUCCAUGGCGUUUGCAAAUUGAGAAGCAUUUGAGAGUAACAUAAUUAUGAUAGAUUUUUACAUAUCAGUUUUAAGUAGCUGAUAUACACAAGAAACCAAGGAGUAACUAACACAUAUUCAAAUUCAGGGGUAGGGUUCAGGUUGGGGUUUGAUCCAUCGGCGCCUCAGAACAGUGCAGGAGUUGCUGAGCCUCCAGGACAACCAGAAAACAAUCAAGACAGAGUAGCCAACCCCGUGCAGAUUCCUGGGCAAGCUGACAUUCAACAAGCAGAAGGCGGUCCAAACCCCAGUUCCAUGAAUUCAUUCAGUUCUAUGUUAUUAUGGAUCUUAGGAGGUGCUUCAUCUGAGGGUCUCAACUCGUUUUUUUCAAUGUUCAGAGAUGUUAGAGACCAAGGACAAGUUUUUGUCGAAACUCCUCACGAUGAAAACCGUGAGAAUAAGGAUAAUGACAGAUAGUGGUAGAACAUUAAAUUUUGAUCAUAAGUACUUGUUAAUACUUAAUAUAGGAAUAUUGUACGGCAUAUCAUAUAGGUGACUGAACUUUCUCUCUCUUUGGUCCAAAUAAAAAUAAAACUAACGAAAAAGAAUGUGUAUAUAAUGUAUAUGUAUAUUCUUUAUAGCUUUUUUUUUUCUUUCAUAAAUAUUGAAGGUUUGAUGUCUA